AUUGAACGCUGGCGGCAGGCCUAACACAUGCAAGUCGAGCGGAGCGGCGGACGGGUGGGUAAUUCCUAGAAAUCUGCCUGUUAGUGGGGGCUAACGUCCUGAAACGGGCGCUAAUCCCCCAUACUAUCAGAUGAGCCUAGGUGGGAUUGGUUAGUUGGUGGGUUAAAGGCCUACAAAGUCGACGAUCCGUAACUGGUCUGAGAGGAUGAUCAGUCACACUGGAACUGAGACAUGUUCCAGACUCCUACGGGAGGCAGCAGUGGGGAAUAUUGUACAAUGGGCGAAAGCCUGAUCCAGCCAUGCCGCGUGUGUGAAGAAGGUCUUCGGGUUGUAAAGCACUUUCAGCUAGGAGGCGUUACCAACAGAAGAAGCACCGGCUAACUCCGUGCCAGCAGCCGCGGUAAUUC
Molecule: ribosomal RNA, 407 nt
Filed under: uncultured bacterium
Lineage: Bacteria
Description: partial 16S ribosomal RNA
Rfam family: Bacterial small subunit ribosomal RNA
Source: RNAcentral